ACGAUAAGAUGAUUCAUAUUUUUGUUCUCUCAUAUCUACAAUAGUAACUUGUGUGUAAUCUAUCUAUUUAUCUAUCUAGAUAUCACAAUUCCGGAGGAGUCCUUUUAACGAGGGAUAUAAAAUGCGUGCUGGCUCAACUUCGGGAAACUUUUAGUCUACGUCCGAUCGUUUAUCGUCGUGAAUACUCGAUGUUACUGGUGUUCUUUGUUGAAUGGGGGGGAAUAAAAUAGCCCGCUUAGAGCUUCGAAGAAACGAUUUCUCCAACUCUUAUCGGAAAUUUAUUUCGGAAGAAAAAAAGAAACGAAGAAGUAGAUCUUAUUCGAUCUCGUUAGAAUAGGCUAAAGAAUAAAAUUAUCGAGAUAGAAAUAGUUAAGAAUUUUCGAUUAGUUAAAUAAAAGUUGUCAGAACAAAAAA
This 414-nucleotide long non-coding RNA is filed under the name Polistes fuscatus (common paper wasp). RNAcentral's name for it is "uncharacterized LOC122524791". Lineage: Eukaryota; Metazoa; Arthropoda; Insecta; Hymenoptera; Vespidae. The record is from RNAcentral.